This 613-nucleotide ribosomal RNA is filed under the name uncultured marine picoplankton. Its description in RNAcentral is "bacterial SSU rRNA". It matches the Rfam family "Eukaryotic small subunit ribosomal RNA", at positions 620 to 1240 of the family's 1831-position model. The record is from RNAcentral.
UAAAAAGUUCGUAGUUGGAUUUCUGUGAAGGAUAACCGGUCCGCACUAUGUGCGUGUAUCUGUUUGUCCUUUGCAUCCUCGCGGAAUACGUCACUGUGCUUCACUGCAUGGGGCGGGCUUCGCGACUUUUACUUUGAGGAAAUUAGAGUGUUCACGGCAGGCUCACGCCAUGAAUAUAUUAGCAUGGAAUAAUAAUAUAGGACUCCUGUCCUAUUUCGUUGGUCUCGGGACGGGAGUAAUGAUUAAGAGGAACAGUUGGGGGCAUUCGUAUUUCAUUGUCAGAGGUGAAAUUCUUGGAUUUAUGAAAGACGAACUUCUGCGAAAGCAUUUGCCAAGGAUGUUUUCAUUAAUCAAGAACGAAAGUUGGGGGCUCGAAGAUGAUUAGAUACCAUCCUAGUCUCAACCAUAAACGAUGCCGACUAGGGAUUGGCGGAUGUUAAUUGAUGACUCCGCCAGCACCUUAUGAGAAAUCAAAGUUUUUGGGUUCCGGGGGGAGUAUGGUCGCAAGGCUGAAACUUAAAGGAAUUGACGGAAGGGCACCACCAGGAGUGGAGCCUGCGGCUUAAUUUGACUCAACACGGGAAAACUCACCAGGUCCAGACAUAGUAAGGAU